GCCUUUCGCCUUUCGUCUCUCCCUCCGCCUGCAAAGCGAACAAGCCAAAACCCCCGGAGAGACAUCUCCGGGGGUUUUGGCUUGUUAUGU
This 90-nucleotide small RNA is filed under the name Paenibacillus sp. P22. RNAcentral describes it as "ctRNA". Lineage: Bacteria; Bacillati; Bacillota; Bacilli; Caryophanales; Paenibacillaceae. The record is from RNAcentral.